UUUUCUUUUUGAGAGGUUAACAACUGAGGGAGACGUGAAGUUGGUUCACUGCUCGGUGCCUGUAACUUAGAUACUGUGUAGAAAAUACUAAACAGACAGAUGUGCUCGUUUUUUAUCACUUGUAUGUAUUUGACACUUCUUAUUCUCCUCCUGUAAUACCUUGUGUUCUGCAUUCAGGGUGGCAGUGGCCAGAGGAUCCUGUCUGGCUACACAAAUAAGAUGCUCCAGAUGAUCAAUGGGAAAUGUGCUUUACAUUUUCCUUCAAGAACAAAUUGACACUACACCCCUUCUCUAAGCUGUGGGGCACCCAAAGAGUACGUCAACUCCAGAACUUUGGAGGCACGGGGCCCAGUGACGACCUAAAGCUUUGUGGGCUCACACUCCAAACCUCCAGACAAGAAUUCAACCAUCCUUAACCAGAUGUCAUUCUGUGGCCAGACCAUCAGCAGCAUUCUUGGCGACAUGCAUGGAGACAGGCAAGUUUUUAUAAAUGGA
Molecule: long non-coding RNA, 495 nt
Organism: Monopterus albus (swamp eel)
Lineage: Eukaryota; Metazoa; Chordata; Actinopteri; Synbranchiformes; Synbranchidae
Exons: 3
Source: RefSeq, a predicted model, not a curated record